GACUCCGUGGCGCAACGGUAGCUCGUCCGACUCCAGAUCGUAAGGUUGCGUGUUCAAAUCACGUCGGGGUCA
Non-coding RNA from Ciona savignyi (Pacific transparent sea squirt), 72 nucleotides. NCBI's taxonomy places the organism in Eukaryota, Metazoa, Chordata, Ascidiacea, Phlebobranchia, Cionidae. The record is from Rfam.